CAGUAGCCACGGUAAUACGAAGGGUGCAAGCGUUACUCGGAAUUACUGGGCGUAAAGCGUGCGUAGGUGGUGGUUUAAGUCCGUUGUGAAAGCCCUGGGCUCAACCUGGGAAUUGCAGUGGAUACUGGGUCACUAGAGUGUGGUAGAGGAUAGUGGAAUUUCCGGUGUAGCAGUGAAAUGCGUAGAGAUCGGAAGGAACAUCUGUGGCGAAGGCGACUAUCUGGGCCAACACUGACACUGAGGCACGAAAGCGUGGGGAGCAAACAGGAUUAGAUACCCCCGUAGUCCCUGUCUCUUAUAU
Molecule: ribosomal RNA, 301 nt
Filed under: uncultured bacterium
Lineage: Bacteria
Description: partial 16S ribosomal RNA
Rfam family: Bacterial small subunit ribosomal RNA
Source: RNAcentral